Molecule: unclassified non-coding RNA, 236 nt
Filed under: Hevea brasiliensis (rubber tree)
Lineage: Eukaryota; Viridiplantae; Streptophyta; Magnoliopsida; Malpighiales; Euphorbiaceae
Source: RNAcentral
AGUGAGGGAAUGGGUGGAUCAAUGGGAAGUGUUAAAACAUGAAGCUGUUAAAGGGUUUUUGAGUCACUGUGGUUGGAACUCAGUGUUGGAGAGUUUGAGCUGUGGAGUGCCGAUUCUUACUUAUCCGUUAAUGGCGGAGCAGAGUUUGAAUGCGAGGAUGGUGGUGGAGGAGUUGACGGCGGGGAUGAGGGGGGUCGAGGGGACGACGUCGAUGAAGGGGAACGUGAAAGGGAAGG